This is a non-coding RNA of Populus trichocarpa (black cottonwood), 138 nucleotides long. The record is from Rfam. Lineage: Eukaryota; Viridiplantae; Streptophyta; Magnoliopsida; Malpighiales; Salicaceae.
UAAUUUUUUAUGACAAAUCUUUAUCAAACUGUGAAAGAUUUUCAUGUGACUGCUAAAAAACCUUCAACUUAUGCUAGCCCGGCUACAUCAAUAAUUAAGGCACGUGGAGAGGAAACGGUGAUUAAUAAGAAUAAAAAA